RNAcentral lists this ribosomal RNA (239 nucleotides) under uncultured Enterobacterales bacterium. Its description in RNAcentral is "partial 16S ribosomal RNA". It matches the Rfam family "Bacterial small subunit ribosomal RNA", at positions 92 to 334 of the family's 1533-position model. The record is from RNAcentral. Lineage: Bacteria; Pseudomonadati; Pseudomonadota; Gammaproteobacteria; Enterobacterales.
CGAGUGGCGGACGGGUGAGUAAUGUCUGGGAAACUGCCUGAUGGAGGGGGAUAACUACUGGAAACGGUAGCUAAUACCGCAUAACGUCUCCGGACCAAAGUGGGGGACCUUCGGGCCUCACACCAUCGGAUGUGCCCAGAUGGGAUUAGCUUGUAGGUGGGGUAAUGGCUCACCUAGGCGACGAUCCCUAGCUGGUCUGAGAGGAUGACCAGCCACACUGGAACUGAGACACGGUCCAG